GGAAAACGGAGCACUGAUUGUCAUCACGUUUAGGAUUCUCUGUGUUCCCGUCUCUCUGCCUUUGUGUGUUCCAGCAAGAGGUGGAGUGCUAAGGAUUGAUCAGUCACAAAGGUGAACCCCCUCGUGCCUCCUUAUUUUGCUGUGACGAGUCAGCAAGCCUGUGUCGAGUUUGGGAAAUUGUCAGGCCCAGCCUGGUGACAAGCCUAGGACAACCUACCCCGCCA
RNAcentral lists this long non-coding RNA (224 nucleotides) under Fukomys damarensis (Damara mole-rat). RNAcentral describes it as "lncRNA (ENSFDAG00000031126.1)". The record is from RNAcentral. Lineage: Eukaryota; Metazoa; Chordata; Mammalia; Rodentia; Bathyergidae.